RNAcentral lists this small RNA (618 nucleotides) under Pan troglodytes (chimpanzee). RNAcentral describes it as "retained intron". The record is from RNAcentral. Lineage: Eukaryota; Metazoa; Chordata; Mammalia; Primates; Hominidae.
CCUCACCAGCCAGCCCACAGCGGUUUGUUCCCCUUCUCGGGAGUGCGCCAAUGCCUGGGCCGACCCAAACCCUGUCCCCAAAUGGCGAGAACAACAACGACAUCAUCCAGGAUAAUAACGGGACCAUCAUUCCUUUCCGGAAGCACACAGUGCGCGGGGAGCGUUCCUACAGUUGGGGAAUGGCGGUCAAUGUGUAUUCUACCUCGAUAACCCAAGAGACUAUGAGCAGACAUGACAUCAUUGCAUGGGUUAAUGACAUAGUAUCUUUAAACUACACAAAAGUGGAACAGCUUUGUUCAGGUAAGACAUAUUCUUUUAAGUGUUUACCUAAAUAUUUACAGUCUGUCAUGUGGAAUGUGAUUUUAUGAACCACAGCUGCUAUAUUUUGGGUAGGAAAAAGUAUAUAUUGCUAUUGGCAUGUAAUUAAAGGGGGAAAAACUCAGAUAUAACUAAAGGACAUAUUGGGAAAAGUGUUUAUGAGCAUCCAGGAGCACAAGCAGAGCCACACGGACACGUAUUGGAAAGGUCUCUUGAGCUUCGUAAUGCCUUUCACUGGCUCCUAGCCUCUUCUCUGUCAUCCCAUCUGCCAUCACACUUGCCUCCUGAAAACACCAAUUG